GGGCUCACACAAGCGGUGGAGGAUGUGGCUUAAUUCGAGGCUACGCGAAGAACCUUAUCCUAGGCUUGACAUGCAUGGAUACCCUCCCUGAAAGGGGAGUAAGUUGCUAGCAAUAGUGAAACUUGCACAGGUGCUGCAUGGCUGUCGUCAGCUCGUGUCGUGAGACGUCGGGUUAAGUCCCUUAACGAGCGAAACCCCUAUCGUUAGUUGCCAUCAUUUAGUUGGGCACUUUAGCGAGACUGCCUAAGUUAAUGCGGAGGAAGGCGGGGACGACGUCAAGUCCUCAUGGCCCUUAUGCCUAGGGCUGCACACGUCCUACAAUGGAUUCCACAAAGGGAAGCGACACUGUGAAGUCGAGCAAAUCCCCAAAAAGGAUCCUCAGUUCGGAUUGUAGUCUGCAACUCGACUACAUGAAGCCGGAAUCGCUAGUAAUCGCGGGUCAGCAUACCGCGGUGAAUGUGUUCCUGAGCCUU
Molecule: ribosomal RNA, 473 nt
Filed under: uncultured bacterium
Lineage: Bacteria
Description: bacterial SSU rRNA
Rfam family: Bacterial small subunit ribosomal RNA
Source: RNAcentral